Molecule: ribosomal RNA, 292 nt
Filed under: uncultured bacterium
Lineage: Bacteria
Also listed under: 1 other name
Description: partial 16S ribosomal RNA
Source: RNAcentral
GGACUACAGGGGUUUCUAAUCCUGUUUGAUCCCCACGCUUUCGUGCCUCAGCGUCAAUCGUUGCUUAGUGGGCUGCCUACGCAAUCGGUGUUCCGGGUCAUAUCUAUGCAUUUCACCGCUACAUGACCCGUUCCGCCCACCUCAACAACAUUCAAGACCAAUAGUAUCAAUGGCAGUUUCCGGGUUGAGCCCGGAGAUUUCACCGCUGACUUAAAAGUCCGCCUACACACCCUUUAAACCCAGUAAAUCCGGAUAACGCUUGCACCCUCCGUAUUACCGCGGCUGCUGGCAC